GCACUAGUAGCUCAGAGACUAGAGCGCCGGUCUUGUAAACCGGACGCCGAAGGUUAAAAUCCUUCCUUGUGCU
This 73-nucleotide transfer RNA is filed under the name Oryzias javanicus (javanese ricefish). Its description in RNAcentral is "tRNA-Thr". It matches the Rfam family "tRNA". From Rfam's summary of the family: Transfer RNA (tRNA) molecules are approximately 80 nucleotides in length. Their secondary structure includes four short double-helical elements and three loops (D, anti-codon, and T loops). Lineage: Eukaryota; Metazoa; Chordata; Actinopteri; Beloniformes; Adrianichthyidae. The record is from RNAcentral.